ACUGGGCAGAGUUGGUGGGUCAGGACUGACUGGAGCUGGGGAACUCCACCAACUGGAAGUCUUAUGAGGCAGUUCCUCCGUGAAGGGGAAUAUCUGUUUCACCUAGGGGCAGAGGAUGAUUCUGGAGGAGCUCAGUAGGGUGUAUUCAGAUGCAGACCAACAAGAUCACUACCAUCCUGAUCUGGUGGCAGCAGCACCUUCCCAUGCACAUGAGUUGACAUGGCCAGCUUUUAGCCACCUAAACCCAACAACCAAAGAUAACCAUCUCCUAGCUGUGGACAUCUAGCUCUUUGUGAUGAAUGCACAUGGAUACCUGUGGAAACUCUGACUUCUCACCUCGGCCAGGAACCCCCUGCCCAAACCUCAGUAUCUGAACAACACAUGAUUGAUUUAUACUCUGAGUGAAAUGCUGAACAGCAGAGAAGAAAUACAGAGAUUUGUUAGUAGUUUCUGGUAGAUUGGUCCUGGCACAGUGGACACCAGUUUAACUUUGUUACCGUAUCACACACACUUAUCCACUGUCAAGUCACAUCGUCCUAAUACAAAAGAAGAAUGAGCAAAAGAGAUAAAACGUGACUCUGGAGCCCCAUGCAGAGUGGCAGUGCCGUGUGACUGCUGUGCAACAGUAUCUUCUCUUAAGUACUGCUUACCAUUGCCAUGGAUUAUCUGGCCUCGAUACAGUACCGCUCACCAGUCCCGGAGCCGCAAGAAUAACAAGACGGCUUUACUCCAUUUCUAAUCUUUAGUUUUGAGCCCUUCUCAACAGAACGUCUUUAGGCAUUUUGAGGCCCCUUUGCUCAGAACUCCUACCUCCAUUUCAAGCACCUGCCAGGAUCGAUGAAGACUGAAUGAGACCAUUCUUUUCCCCAAACUGACACAGCAAUUUAAUGCUGAUCAUGUGAAUCCCCAGGGGAGGAAGGGAUGCACAUGUGGCACAGGCUGGAGGUGGUGUGUAAGUUUGGCUUAAACUCAAGCAGAGUGGCCUCAACGUCUGUCCCCUUAAGAUACCACUCUGUCUCCACAGUCAUAGAUUGCUCCAAUCCAAACUAAAU
Molecule: long non-coding RNA, 1052 nt
Organism: Mauremys reevesii (Reeves's turtle)
Lineage: Eukaryota; Metazoa; Chordata; Testudines; Geoemydidae
Exons: 4
Source: RefSeq, a predicted model, not a curated record